GACGGAGGAUGCAAGCGUUAUCCGGAAUGAUUGGGCGUAAAGCGUCCGCAGGUGGCAGUUCAAGUCUGCUGUCAAAGACCGGGGCUUAACUUCGGAAAGGCAGUGGAAACUGAACGGCUAGAGUAUGGUAGGGGCAGAGGGAAUUCCUGGUGUAGCGGUGAAAUGCGUAGAGAUCAGGAAGAACAUCGGUGGCGAAGGCGCUCUGCUGGACCAUAACUGACACUCAGGGACGAAAGCUAGGGGAGCGAAUGGG
RNAcentral lists this ribosomal RNA (253 nucleotides) under uncultured bacterium. RNAcentral's name for it is "partial 16S ribosomal RNA". It matches the Rfam family "Bacterial small subunit ribosomal RNA", at positions 524 to 776 of the family's 1533-position model. The record is from RNAcentral.